UUGUCCGGUUGGAGGUCGUCGUCCUCAACGCCCUCUCUCUAUCUUUCACAUUUGGCGCUCGAGCGUCUUGGUCUUCCAGCGGGCGCGGCGGUUCUGGAACCAGACGACGACCUGACGCGGCUGCAGGGCGAGGUCGCACGCGAUGAGGUCGCCGCGCGCCCGCCGGCCACUGCCAGGGCCAGCUUGUCCUCGUCCUCGUCCAUCUCGGCCUCGUCGUCGGGCUCCAUCUUCCGCGCCGGCAGGGCCUCUUCCACCGCGAACGUCAGCUUCUCCCCUGCAAUAGGCGUUGUCCCUGCUCCAGUAAGAGUAGGCGAGGACGAGCCUCCCCCAUCCUGGGUGUUGGUGCCUGACCCAUUUUCUCAAGAUAAGAUGUUCAGAGGUUCUCCUAAGAUAGUAGCUUUAUCUAAAGCUGCUCAAAAGAAGGCUUCUCCUAAAGCUGCAACAACAAAGAAAUGUGGCGGUGCACCAACUGUCAAUCAAGAGAAGGAGACAAAAAGAGUGAGGAAAGAUGCACUAGAAGGGCUGAUAGGGAGGUACCUUGAUGUGAAAACGAAGCAAGUUGCAGAUGAGGCUGCACAAUCAGCAAAAGUAAAGGAUGUUGCUCAAGAUAAUGAUUUUUCUAUCAAGAGGUGUAUUUCUGUUCUUAAGACUAUGGAUAUGACAAGAGAUGAGAAGGUCAAAGCAGCUGAGGUGUUCAACAUACCAAAUUACAGGGAAACAUUUAUUUGUUUCAAUGAUGAUGAGCCAGAAGUCGCUCUCCUUUGGCUAAGAGGGAAGAUGGAUAAACUCUAAAGGCAGGUCUGGUGGAACACGGACAGGCUCUGACUUCGUUCGAGACCAUCCAUUUGAUUCUUGCACCGGUUCUUUUCUCAGUUCAGUUGAAAGCUAGCACUAGAUGCCUACACGGAAUAGAAGGUCCACCACAGUCCACAGUCGUUCAUCCAAGCAGCUGUGUAGAUGUCGCCUCCUGUUAUUUUGUCCCUUUUCUGGUUGUCAUGUCCCUUUUUCUGGUUGUCACGUUGAGCUCUUGGUUUGCAGUUUCAUGUUGGUGUGCAUUGUCUGAAUAGAAAACUGAAAGGCUGUUGUUUCAGUUUCAUGUUGGUGUGCGUCCUCUGAAUAGAAAACUGAAAAGUUGUUGUUUCAGUUUCAUGUUGGUGUGCGUCCUCUGAAUAGAAAACUGAAAGGCUGUUGUUUCAGUUUCAU
RNAcentral lists this unclassified non-coding RNA (1203 nucleotides) under Zea mays. RNAcentral's name for it is "misc RNA Zm00001eb019670". The record is from RNAcentral. Lineage: Eukaryota; Viridiplantae; Streptophyta; Magnoliopsida; Poales; Poaceae.